GCCUGGUUAUAUCAGUCGGUAGAUAGUUUGACUCUUACUCCCAUUGUGUUAAGAUAUCAAAAUGUCAUGGGUUCGAGCCCCAUACUAGGCU
Molecule: non-coding RNA, 91 nt
Organism: Apiotrichum porosum
Lineage: Eukaryota; Fungi; Basidiomycota; Tremellomycetes; Trichosporonales; Trichosporonaceae
Source: the annotation of a RefSeq genome assembly